This 920-nucleotide long non-coding RNA is filed under the name Gossypium raimondii (Peruvian cotton). RNAcentral's name for it is "long non-coding RNA (GRAI_LNC005565)". The record is from RNAcentral. Lineage: Eukaryota; Viridiplantae; Streptophyta; Magnoliopsida; Malvales; Malvaceae.
CCCCCACCGCCAGCUACUCCGACAGACGGCCUAAGCCUAUGAUACCCCCUGCCACCUGAAGAAAAAGAAAAAUAAGACAAAAUUGGUGAGAUUAAAAGACGAAAAAGGAAAGAGAGAAGGGUUUUUUUGCAGCAAAAAAAAAGAAAAAAUUGAAAAAAAUAGCAGCAAAACACGAAAGAAACAACAGCCCAAAAGUUCUUUGCCACUGUCGUGCCACCACCAUCGCCGCUCCACCACCGAAACCAAGCCAAGAGCCAAACAAAAAAACAACGAAAAAGAAUAGCAAAGAAGAAAGAAAGAAGUAUAGGAGGAGAGGACCACCACGCCACCGUCGGUCAUCGCACCAGGCGGAGCAAGCGUCAUAAACGGCGCAAGGAGUUGGGGGUGGCUGAACGGAGAAGAAAGGAGAAAAAGAAAAGGGAAAGAAAAAAAAAGAAAGAUGAACGGGAAGGAAAAAAAGAAAAAAGAUGAAAAAAAGGAAUGAAAAGAAAAAAUUCAAGCAAAAACACCAAAAAAAAUAACAGUCCCACCACCACCGUGCAUCGUCGUACCUCCACCGUGGUCACAACCACCACUGUCCUUCCCCAUCUACUAAUACCAAAAGAAAGCAAAUCAAGCAAAAGAAAAAAAUCAAAAUAAAAAACACCCAAAAAAAUAGCAAAACAAGAAAGAAAAGAGAGGGAGAAGGGAGGAGAGGCAGCAACGCCGGCACCGUCACACCAGGGGUGUAAGAAGCAGUGGCGGCAUGGCAAUAGGCUAAGGUUUCAGCCCAAAAAAGAAGAAGAGAAAGGAACGAGAAGAAGAAGAAAAAGGGGAAAAAGAAAGAAAAAAGAAAAAAGGGAAAAAAAUGAAAAAGAGGAAAAAUAAUAUAUAAUAGUCGGGCCAACCCGGCCCGACCGAUAGCAGCCAGCACCCAGCAG